RNAcentral lists this ribosomal RNA (497 nucleotides) under uncultured bacterium. RNAcentral's name for it is "partial 16S ribosomal RNA". It matches the Rfam family "Bacterial small subunit ribosomal RNA", at positions 28 to 507 of the family's 1533-position model. The record is from RNAcentral.
GAUGAACGCUGGCGGCGUGCCUAAUACAUGCGAGUCGAGCGAACAGACGAGGAGCUUGCUCCUCUGACGUUAGCGGCGGACGGGUGAGUAACUCGUGGAUAACCUACCUAUAAGACUGGGAUAACUUCGGGAAACCGGAGCUAAUACCGGAUAAUAUAUUGAACCGCAUGGUUCAAUAGUGAAAGACGGUUUUGCUGUCACUUAUAGAUGGAUCCGCGCCGCAUUAGCUAGUUGGUAAGGUAACGGCUUACCAAGGCAACGAUGCGUAGCCGACCUGAGAGGGUGAUCGGCCACACUGGAACUGAGACACGGUCCAGACUCCUACGGGAGGCAGCAGUAGGGAAUCUUCCGCAAUGGGCGAAAGCCUGACGGAGCAACGCCGCGUGAGUGAUGAAGGUCUUCGGAUCGUAAAACUCUGUUAUUAGGGAAGAACAAAUGUGUAAGUAACUAUGCACGUCUUGACGGUACCUAAUCAGAAAGCCACGGCUAACUACGUG